CUUUAUGGAGUCUAUGUUUCAAACCCUUUACCUAUUUUUUUCUCUAAUAUCUGGCAGGAGGAAGACUUACCUGAUCCAGCAGACCAGUGGCUUUCUGAGAAGACUAAGUUGGACCAUCCUUCCCCAGAGAAGUCCUGUUUUUGGCAAGAAAUACUGAACUUCCAGUUGUAGCAAUGAAGUGCUGCAGACUGCUGACUCCAACAUGGAUUACAUCACACAGUUGUUGACAUUAUCCUGGAAAGAGGGAACAGGGA
Molecule: long non-coding RNA, 254 nt
Organism: Neomonachus schauinslandi (Hawaiian monk seal)
Lineage: Eukaryota; Metazoa; Chordata; Mammalia; Carnivora; Phocidae
Exons: 4
Source: RefSeq, a predicted model, not a curated record